RNAcentral lists this long non-coding RNA (1634 nucleotides) under Capsicum annuum. RNAcentral describes it as "long non-coding RNA (CANN_LNC006097)". Lineage: Eukaryota; Viridiplantae; Streptophyta; Magnoliopsida; Solanales; Solanaceae. The record is from RNAcentral.
CGCAUAGUAUUUUUACUGUUUUAAAUAGUAGAAUGGUCCCACAUUUGGGUCCUAUACAUAUGAGAUAAACAUAGUGAAAACAUCUAAUGUUUUAACAAAUGUUCUGAUCACAUCUUGUCUUUUCUUUUUAGCUGGUAGAGUAAUGCCUCUGUUUUUUCGACUUCUCCUUCGUCAAGAAUAUUUUCUGGAUAAAGUAGUUGGGAAUCUUGAAUAUCUUCAGUUUUUGCUGCUUCUUCACUUGUAAGACUUUUCAUAGAAGUAUUCGAUUGUUGUUCAUAGAUUUUCAUUAAAUUUCUUCGGACUUCUUCUAAAUAUUGCUCAAUCAUUUCCAUCUUAUCUCCUUCAUGGACAGAGAUUCUUCUAGAAAUAUAACUGAGAUUUUUAUCUUCAACAAGUUUCUUUUGAGGAGUGGUAGAAUAUUCGAGAUUUUUUUUAUUAAUGGAUUAGAUCAAUUUUCGUCCAUGUGGUAAUUUAGUAAGGGGAUAUUUUUUGGUCUGUUUUUCUCAAAAAUUAUUAUAGAAUACCCUAUAGAGUCCGGGUAUUUGUUCUUUAGUUUAACCAAAUUCAACACCCCAUUUAUGUAUUCAUGGAAUGAAAAACUCUAUAAAGAAAUACAUCUGGUCCAUUUUAUCUAGAUUGCAGACAUGGUUUGAAUGGUAUAAAUUUGUUAAGAACGGGGAUACCUUUGUCCAUUUUUUGUAAAGAUACAUGUAUUCUUCUGGCAGAAUUUUAAUUGUAGGGCCAUGAUACGACCACCACUGAAUAAACCAAUUUAGAAUUGGAUCUUCAAAUACUUUAGAACAGACUUUUAAAAACUAAGUAUGCUUAUGUUUAAUAUUGUUGUAAUAUCAAGUCUGGGUAAAGGCCCUAAUAUAUUCCCAAUUAUCCUUUCAUCAUCAUGGCCUUUUUUGACAUGGAAGUAGUUCCUCAGUCUUCUAUUGAAAUGAGUUUUUUAAUAACAAUCUUGGAGUAUCCAUGAACAUCUGGGGUUGACUCACCCAUUUGGUGAUGUUCCAAUUCAAUACUUCUAGUGGACAAUAAUAUUGAUUCAUAGAAUGCUCUUGUCUUAUAGGAUUCACCUGCAAAAUAAAGGUUAGCUAGUAAAUGUUUUUGGAGGAGUUUCCAGGGAUCAUUUUGUUUGCAUAUUUGAGAAUUUCCCACGAGAACUAUUAGCUCUCGAUUUUUAAGUUUUUCAUAUUGUUGCCUUUCUGCAGAGUUUUCUUUAGUAACUGAAGCAAACGAAUCAGCUUGCUUUGCAGAUAUAAAAGAUUGCAGUUGCUCAUAUAAAGGAUGAUCCUUCGAAAUAUCUUCUAGAUGGAUCGAGGUGCUUAUAUGCUAAGUUUUUCCGUUCUUUGAAGAGAAUUCUGCGAUAUGCGAAAUCCUUGCAUUUAUCAGGCUCAUAUUUGUCCUUUGCAAUACUGAAAAAUUAGAUAAAGACGAAGUAUAUGAAUUAUUAUGAUGAUGAUGGGGAGUAUCUUCCCCCUAAUGAGGAGUAUUUUCCUCCGUGGCUUCUUCCUCUGCCUCGUCCUCUGUCUAUUUGUCAGGGCGGAUCUGUAGCCAUACUGCGUAGAAAAUUAGUCAUAUAAAUAAAUGUCAUACCAAUCAAUUUCAUCGCGGAUAUCUGCAAAAUUGGG